AACGAACGUUGGCGGCGUGGAUUAGGCAUGCAAGUCGAACGAAGCUAUUCUGUGUAGCAAUACAUGGGAUAGACUGAGUGGCGAAAGGGGCAGUAAUGCGUGGAUAACCUACCCCGGGGAUGGGGAUAGCCAUUCUAACGAGUGGGUAAUACCCGGCGAUGCAGCGAGAUCGCAUGGUUUUGCUGUGAAAUGAAUUUCGCCUCGGGAGGGGUUCACGUGCUAUUAGCUUGUUGGUGGGGUAACGGCCUACCAAGGCUAAGAUGGCUAGCGGGUAUGAGAGCACGACCCGCGCCACUGGCACUGAGACACUGGCCAGACUCCUACGGGAGGCUGCAGUCGAGGAUCUUCGGCAAUGGGCGCAAGCCUGACCGAGCGACGCCGCGUGCGCGAUGAAGGCCUUCGGGUUGUAAAGCGCUGUCGAGGGGGAGGAAGGCCCGUAAGGGUUUGACCUAUCCCUGGAGGAAGCACGGGCUAAGUUCGUGCCAGCAGCCGCGGUAAGACGAACCGUGCAAACGUUGUUCGGAAUCACUGGGCUUAAAGGGCGCGUAGGCGGGGGACCAAGUCCGGGGUGAAAUCUUUCGGCUCAACCGGAAAACUGCCUUGGAUACUGGUCUUCUUGAGGGAGGUAGGGGCAGGUGGAACUUCCGGUGGAGCGGUGAAAUGCGUUGAUAUCGGAAGGAACGCCGGUGGCGAAAGCGGCCUGCUGGAUCUCUUCUGACGCUGAAGCGCGAAAGCUAGGGUAGCGAACGGGAUUAGAUACCCCGGUAGUCCUAGCCCUAAACGAUGGGUACUAGGUUGCGGACCUGACAUGGGUUCGCAGCCGAAGCAAAAGUGUUAAGUACCCCGCCUGGGGAGUAUGGUCGCAAGGCUGAAACUCAAAGGAAUUGACGGGGGCUCACACAAGCGGUGGAGCAUGUGGCUUAAUUCGAGGCUACGCGAAGAACCUUAUCCUAGGCUUGACAUGUGCGAAAGCGGUAGGAAGUAGCUUGCGGAAACGUAAUGCCAACGGUAUCCAAUCCGGAACCUACUACAGGUGCUGCAUGGCUGUCGUCAGCUCGUGUCGUGAGAUGUUGGGUUAAGUCCCGCAACGAGCGCAACCCUUGUCAUUAAUUGCCAUCAUUCAGUUGGGCACUUUAAUGAGACUGCCGGUGACAAACCGGAGGAAGGUGGGGAUGACGUCAAGUCCUCAUGGCCCUUAUGGGUAGGGCUUCACACGUCAUACAAUGGUCGGUACAGAGGGUCGCCAACCCGCGAGGGGGAGCCAAUCCCACAAAGCCGAUCGUAGUCCGGAUCGCAGUCUGCAACUCGACUGCGUGAAGUCGGAAUCGCUAGUAAUCGUGGAUCAGCAUGUCACGGUGAAUACGUUCCCGGGUCU
RNAcentral lists this ribosomal RNA (1375 nucleotides) under uncultured soil bacterium. RNAcentral's name for it is "bacterial SSU rRNA". It matches the Rfam family "Bacterial small subunit ribosomal RNA", at positions 28 to 1381 of the family's 1533-position model. The record is from RNAcentral.